GACGAACGCUGGCGGCGUGCUUAACACAUGCAAGUCGAACGAUGAAGCCCAGCUUGCUGGGUGGAUUAGUGGCGAACGGGUGAGUAACACGUGGGCAACCUGCCCCAAACUCUGGGAUAACUCCUCGAAAGAGGUGCUAAUACCGGAUACGAACUAGACAGACAUCUGUACUAGUUGGAAAGUUUUUCGGUUUGGGAUGGGCCCGCGGCCUAUCAGCUUGUUGGUUGGGUAACGGCGCACCAAGGCUACGACGGGUAACCGGCCUGCGAGGGCGACCGGACACACUGGGACGUGGACACGGCCCGUACGCCUACGGGAGGCAGCAGGGGGGAGUAGUGCGCAAAGGGCGAAAGCCUGACGCAGCGACGCCGCGUGAGGGAUGAAGGUCUUCGGAUCGUAAACCUCUUUCAGUAGGGACGAAGCGAAAGUGACGGUACCUAAAGAAGAAGCACCGGCUAACUACGUGCCAGCAGCCGCAGUAA
Molecule: ribosomal RNA, 482 nt
Filed under: uncultured bacterium
Lineage: Bacteria
Description: partial 16S ribosomal RNA
Rfam family: Bacterial small subunit ribosomal RNA
Source: RNAcentral